Long non-coding RNA from Glycine soja, 346 nucleotides. RefSeq lists it as uncharacterized. The transcript has 3 exons. Lineage: Eukaryota; Viridiplantae; Streptophyta; Magnoliopsida; Fabales; Fabaceae. The record is from RefSeq and is a predicted model, not a curated record.
ACUAGGAAAGGAAAGAGUCCCGGAAAGGGUACUCCCAGGGUGUUCUUGUUGUUUCUCCUUUUGCCUGAGUUGGUGUUUGUCGCAAAUUGGGCUGUGCUUUCGUGACUGCAACCACAUUGUUGAGUUCGCGUUUGUGGAGUUCGUGUCUGGCACUUAUCUUUUGAGGUCGAAGAAAACUAGGAAAAAAUCGAGUCCCGGAAAGGGUGGGACUCGAUUUUGGAAGUCCAUUGUGCUUGGCUUUAAGACUCCCAGGGAAGCCAUCGAAGGUACAUGAUUCCUAUUUGUUGUGAGAGUGAAAUGAUGGGCAGCAGCAGCAAGUGAGGUGAGUUUAUAUUUCCUUUUUUUU